Molecule: ribosomal RNA, 618 nt
Filed under: Triticum aestivum (bread wheat)
Lineage: Eukaryota; Viridiplantae; Streptophyta; Magnoliopsida; Poales; Poaceae
Description: partial small subunit ribosomal RNA
Source: RNAcentral
AUGUUGUUCUUGUGGGGCUGCCAAACGCAUAUUCUCAGUAUGUUACAACAUUCAAAGCAUACCAGGUCCAAAGAGCAAAGAUACGAGGGUGCGUCAACGUUGUACAGUCCCCACACCUUUGAGUCCAUACAUUCAAGAGCUUCAGAAACUUGCUGCAGCUAUGGUCCCACACCAACAAACAUCCAACCUCCUGACAUAUUGGACAAGCAAAUCAGACUGCUGCCAGGUGUCGUUGUCGACUCGACGACUCCUGGUGUUCACUUUGGGGAUGUCAGCUCUGAUGUCGCGGCAAACUCAGACUUCAGGAAGGGCAGCACCGUGAAUGCUACGUUCCAUUCGACCUGUCCAUGGAACGACCUUCUAACCAACGGUAACUUCGCGCUCGUUGAGAGGCUAAACGGUAACAGCUGGAUUCCUGCCUAUGACGAUGAUGAUUGGUCGUUGCGAUUCAAGUGGCCAAGGCCUCUCAGCCCAAAAAGCUUUCCGGCGCUGGAGUGGACCAUUCCUGAAGAUGCUGCCCCUGGUGUUUAUAGGCUGAGGCAUUUGGGUGCCUCCAAGCCACUGAUAGGAUCGAUCGAGCAUUUUACAGGUACCGCUCGCGCGUUUGCAGUGUGUUAA